Non-coding RNA from Labrus bergylta (ballan wrasse), 322 nucleotides. Lineage: Eukaryota; Metazoa; Chordata; Actinopteri; Labriformes; Labridae. The record is from RefSeq and is a predicted model, not a curated record.
UGCUCAGUGUCUGCUUUGCUCUUCAUAUUUCAUUUGUAAUAAAGAAACAUCAUCAGUGUGUCUCUUGUUGCAGGGAUCAAAUGUGGCAACGUCUGCAGGGAGUGAUGGGCAUCGUUUUUCGGCCCGUCUCCCACCUGAUCAGAUGAAGAGGAGGAAGAGGAGACUAAAUCAGUGAUCUAAAAGUCUGAACUUUGUGUCUGGACUUUGGGCUGACUGGUUGUUUGAAAACCAUGUUGAGUAUAAUGAUCUGUAGCUCUUUUUGUGACAGCUUGAUUUGGAUACUUAUGGAUAAAACAAAUGUAAAUGAUAAGAUUUGUUAGUG